AGACGAAUCGAAUAACCCAUUGUUGGGUUGCUGCCACCGAAUUGGUAGUUUUUACAAAAUUUUGCAGUUUUUUGUUAUUAUUUUGAAUAUUAUUAUAGAUAUAUAUUAACUGUAAGCGGCAAUAAUGUUCAGCAAAGUAAGAUCUACAAAAACUAAUAUGACCAUAAUUGUCAAUUGACCCCUUAAGGAGUUAUUGUCCUUUAAAGACAAUUUUAAACAAUUUGUUCAUCAAGUUUGCUAACAUUUAAAAAUCUUCUCCUCUGAAACUACCGGGCAAAUUACCUUCAAACUUUAACUAAAUGUUCCUUAGGGUAUCUUGUUUAUAAAUUGUAUCCGAAGUUUGUAUCCAUCGACAAACAUGGCCGCCAUGGCUAAAAAUAGAACAUAAGGGUCAAAUGCAGUUUUUGGCUUAUAUCUCAAAAAUUAAAUCUUUCAGAGCAAAUGUGACGAGGUAAAAUUGUUUAAUUUGUCAAGAUCUAUCGGCCCUGACAUUUUCAGACAAAUCGAACAACCCAUUGUUGGGUUGCUGCCACCGAAUUGGUAGUUUUAACAAAAUUUUGAAGUUUUUUGUUAUUAUUUUGAAUACUUUUAUAGAUAUAUAUAAACUGUAAGCAGCAAUAAUGUUCAGCAAAGUAAGAUCUACAAAAAAGUUAAUAUGACCAUAAUUGUCAAUUGACCCCUUAAGGAGUUAUUGCCCUUUAAAGACAAUUUUACACAAUUUGUUCAUCAAGUUUGCUAACAUUGAAAAAUCUUCUCCUCUGAAAUACAGGUGAGCGAUUCAGGCUCUUGAGAGCCUCUUGUUUGUUUCAUAAACAGAU
This is a long non-coding RNA of Mytilus californianus (California mussel), 818 nucleotides long. RefSeq lists it as uncharacterized. The transcript has 2 exons. Lineage: Eukaryota; Metazoa; Mollusca; Bivalvia; Mytilida; Mytilidae. The record is from RefSeq and is a predicted model, not a curated record.